ACGAACGCUGGCGGCAUGCCUAACACAUGCCAGUCGCACGCGACCUUCGGGUCUAGUGGCGCACGGGUGCGUAACGCGUGGGAACCUGCCCUUAGGUUCGGAAUAACUCCCCGAAAGGGGUGCUAAUACCGGAUAAUGUCUUCGGACCAAAGAUUUAUCGCCUUUGGAUGGGCCCGCGUUGGAUUAGCUAGUUGGUAGGGUAAAAGCCUACCAAGGCGACGAUCCAUAGCUGGUCUGAGAGGAUGAUCAGCCACACUGGGACUGAGACACGGCCCAGACUCCUACGGGAGGCAGCAGUGGGGAAUAUUGGACAAUGGGCGAAAGCCUGAUCCAGCAAUGCCGCGUGAGUGAUGAAGGCCUUAGGGUUGUAAAGCUCUUUUACCCGGGAUGAUAAUGACAGUACCGGGAGAAUAAGCGCCGGCUAACUCCGUG
This 432-nucleotide ribosomal RNA is filed under the name uncultured bacterium. RNAcentral's name for it is "partial 16S ribosomal RNA". It matches the Rfam family "Bacterial small subunit ribosomal RNA", at positions 29 to 507 of the family's 1533-position model. The record is from RNAcentral.